Transfer RNA from Tropilaelaps mercedesae, 59 nucleotides. It matches the Rfam family "tRNA", at positions 8 to 63 of the family's 71-position model. Rfam says of the family: Transfer RNA (tRNA) molecules are approximately 80 nucleotides in length. Lineage: Eukaryota; Metazoa; Arthropoda; Arachnida; Mesostigmata; Laelapidae. The record is from Rfam.
UAGUUCAGUCGGUUGGAGCGUCGUGCUAAUAACGCGAAGGACACAGGUUCGAUCCCUGC